This 2717-nucleotide long non-coding RNA is filed under the name Sus scrofa (pig). RNAcentral's name for it is "lncRNA (ENSSSCG00040074515.1)". The record is from RNAcentral. Lineage: Eukaryota; Metazoa; Chordata; Mammalia; Artiodactyla; Suidae.
GCGGAUGCCGGGCUUCCGCGGGGCCGGCGCCGGUUGGCGUCCGUAGCUCCGCGCAGCCUCCCGGGUCCGCCCACGGAACCCGCCGCGCCGGCGCGACCCCCUCCCCCAGAGCCCUCGGGUGGCUUCUCCCGCGCCCUCCCGGGAUGCUCCUGCCGGCCGGGCCGACCUCCGCGUCCGCAUCUCUCUGGGGGGGGGCGAGGGGACGGGACCGAUGCUCUCCUGUCCAAGGGGCCAGGUCCUCCCAGGGCCCGCCAGAAGAGCCAUACCCAACCCCACCAUCUGUGGGCAAGGCCAGCAGACCCUCUGCCCACUCGCAGGCCAGGGCUCACGACCCGAGGGCCCCUUUGUGUGACUAAAUUUGGCAAGAAUAUGGAUCCGAGCCAGUCUUUCCACGUGUGCUCCCAGCUCCCAGCUGAGAAGGCCAAGGGUUCUCUUCCGGGAGAACCAGUUUGGCUAUUAAGGGAACCUCUCAGCACAGUGCAGAGCAAGAGAAAAAGCAAGAUUUCAGAGAGAAUAGCUGUUUACCAUCAAAGCGAACUGGGUUCCACACAGACAUGGUAUAUUAUACACAGAAACGAAGGUGAAAAUCCUAAGGUGGAGAAGAGACUGAAUAUGCCCACUGUGCCCAAGGCAGGGCUAGAGUUGAUUUGGGGUUUACUUGGCUUCAUGGAUUUGAAACCAUAGAUGCUCUUACACAUCUUUCCCGUUUGAUUGGAGUGAAGCAUGCCACUCCUAAAAAGAAACUACUCGUUCUUUCAUUUCCUUCAAAAAAAAAAAAAGAGAGAGAGAGAGAAGAAGAAGAAAUUUAAUUUGGAUUCGGCUAAUACCCUUAUAACAUCUAAAGCUGUCAAGCAAAAAGAAGAGUAGAUAAUUAGAAGAUGAUGGGAGCCAGCACAGAGCCGAGUGGAGGAAAAGACAGGCACAGGGAAUUUGCACCAGGGACACGAGCUAGAACUGUUUCUGCACCAGACUGAAGUUACCACUGUCCAAGUCUACACUGUAUGCUGGCAAAUAGUCCCACUUCUUGCUGCACGGGCCCCUGCAGCUCUGCCAUGUUAAGCCCUGGCCCUUUCUCCGCGACAGCAUCUCUUACUCUUCACCCGUGUGGUCAUGGAAGUCGUCCUCCCACCGUCUCCAGACCUGUCCAGAUGAGAAAAUGGAGACUUGGAGGAGUAAUUUGCCCAAGAUCAUGCUGUGGGGCAGGGAUCUGAAUCCAGACAGUCUGACUCCAAAACCCAACUUCGUAACCACCAAAAUGUCUCUCAUUUGUUGGGACAAACCUGGUUAUGGAACCAGGUUCUUUUGCCUGAUGUGCAGCAAACCAAAUGCUGAGAUGCUGAGGUUUACAGAAGAGAAAAGGUUUAUUCACAAGGCACCCAAGCGAGGCGAUGGGAGGACAAGUUUCAGAUCUGCUUCCUUGAAGCCCUCGAAGCCGUGUGUGGAUCAAACACGUUGCGAAGUGACAAGAGCCAGGAGUGCUGAGUUUCGAGGAGGACGUGAGUCCCUGCCAACCGACUUUGGAAUUGCUGUGAGUGAGACACAAGCUUUCACUGUGUGAAACCCUGUGACUUGGGGGUUCAUCUUUUACCACAGCAUUGUCUAGCCUGACCAGAUUCAUUUGCAUAAGAAAAUCUCCACUGCCUUCAGAAUAUAAAGUAUAUUUCUGUAAACGUUGCAGAAAGCUAGUAUCUUGAUAAGAUAUAGAAAUUCUUCCACUCUUUCCUCUUACUGCAGUUCUUUCACUCCUUCUCUACCUUAAUGGGUUGGAGUUUGUCAUCAAGUCAGUCAGUCAACCAGGAUGCAGAUGUGAGUUUCCUUGUGGAAACAGGUGCCAGCAAAUAUUGCGUACCCCACCCGGAAGUACUGUGCCAAGUUAAAUCUAACCGAGGUCUUUUAGGUCGUUUCUGCCCACAUGAACCCAGGGUCGCUGAGUAUUAUUCCUUCAGCCCCAUCCACGCGAAAAGCUUCUUGGGUGAAGACAUGGAAUGCAGUUCAGCCCCAGGAUAUAUUCCUGCAAGGAGGAGUGCCAUGUACGACAGAUCAGAGACGGUAGGUGACAUGAUUUUGCACUCACGCCUAUUCCCUGCCUGCUCCUGUCCCAUCCUGUUCUAAACACCAGCAUCGCCUUGAAAUUCCCUUAAGCAAACUGAGACGCCAUAAGAAUCUCUACUGGUAUUGAUCCCAAUGCUGCAUAGUUUCUCUCCUGAACACUUUUUACCCAUAUUUAUACACAGGUAUGCAUAUCGGUAUGCAUGUAUAUACAUAAAUGCUUCUUAUAAUGAGUUUCUUCAUCAUGAAAGAUGAAUUAAUCACUUCAUUGACCUUACUAUAUAAUUUGCUGCAACGUACAGGAUUUACCAGACAACACCUACCACCUUAUAACAUCAGGACUUGCCCUUUGAGUCUAUAUUAAAUGAAUGCUUUCUUUGCCUUUAAGCAGUCAUAAUAAAUCAUACUGCACAAUUAAAUAGCUAUCACUCUUUAAUUAAGGAGUCAUCUUCUCCACUUCACCUGAUCUUGCCCAGUUUCCAGCAUGACCUGGUGCUUAAAGCUCAAGGAGAAAGUAAUUCAUAUUAUAAAUGUAUAACAGGGAAGUUCCCUUGUGUCGCAGCAGGUUAAGGAUCCACUGUUGCCACAAUAGUGGCGCAGGUGGUUACUGCAGUGCAGUUUUGAUCCCUGGCCCACGAACUUUCAUGUGCCAUGGGUGCAGCCAAAAA